Molecule: unclassified non-coding RNA, 358 nt
Filed under: soil metagenome
Description: partial contains 5.8S ribosomal RNA, internal transcribed spacer 2, and large subunit ribosomal RNA
Rfam family: 5.8S ribosomal RNA (bases 2-120)
Source: RNAcentral
UAUGAAGAACGCAGCGAAAUGCGAUAAGUAAUGUGAAUUGCAGAAUUCAGUGAAUCAUCGAAUCUUUGAACGCACAUUGCGCCCGUCAGUAUUCUGGCGGGCAUGCCUGUUCGAGCGUCAUUACGCCCCUCAAGUCCCCUGUGGACUUGGUGUUGGGGAUCGGCGAGGCUGGUUUUCCAGCACAGCCGUCCCUUAAAUUAAUUGGCGGUCUCGCCGUGGCCCUCCUCUGCGCAGUAGUAAAACACUCGCAACAGGAGCCCGGCGCGGUCCACUGCCGUAAAACCCCCCAACUUUUUAUAGUUGACCUCGAAUCAGGUAGGACUACCCGCUGAACUUAAGCAUAUCAAUAAGCGGAGGA